GACGAACGCUGGCGGCGUGCUUAACACAUGCAAGUCGAACGGUGAAGCGCCUUCCUUUUUGGUGGGUGUGGAUGAGUGGCGAACGGGUGAGUAACACGUGAGUAACCUGCCCCCUUCUUCUGGAUAACCGCAUGAAAGUGUGGCUAAUACGGGAUAUUCUGGGUCUGUCGCAUGAUGGGUCUGGGAAAGAUAUUGUUUCGGUGGGGGAUGGGCUCGCGGCCUAUCAGCUUGUUGGUGGGGUGAUGGCCUACCAAGGCGGUGACGGGUAGCCGGCCUGAGAGGGUGGACGGUCACACUGGGACUGAGACACGGCCCAGACUCCUACGGGAGGCAGCAGUGGGGAAUAUUGCACAAUGGGCGCAAGCCUGAUGCAGCGACACCGCGUGAGGGAUGGAGGCCUUCGGGUUGUGAACCUCUUUCGCCAGUGAAGCAGGCCUGCCUCGUUUGUGGGUGGGUUGACGGUAGCUGGAGAAGAAGCGCCGGCUAACUACGUG
Molecule: ribosomal RNA, 494 nt
Filed under: uncultured bacterium
Lineage: Bacteria
Description: partial 16S ribosomal RNA
Rfam family: Bacterial small subunit ribosomal RNA
Source: RNAcentral